CAAAGACAGCCAGGGCUAUACAGAGAAA
Molecule: non-coding RNA, 28 nt
Filed under: Cricetulus griseus (Chinese hamster)
Lineage: Eukaryota; Metazoa; Chordata; Mammalia; Rodentia; Cricetidae
Source: RNAcentral